GUAAGGAAUAUUGCACAAUGGGGGAAACCCUGAUGCAGCAACGCCGCGUGGGCGAUGAAGGUCUUCGGAUCGUAAAGCCCUUUUCUGGGGGAAGAGGCAGGACGGUACCUCAGGAAUAAGUCUCGGCUAACUACGUGCCAGCAGCCGCGGUAAAACGUAGGAGGCUAGCGUUAUCCGGAUUUACUGGGCGUAAAGCGCGUGCAGGCGGUCAGUUAAGUUAGGCGUAAAAUCUCUCGGCUUAACCGGGAGGGGUCGUUUAAUACUGGCUGACUUGAGGGUAGGAGAGGGAAGCGGAAUUCCCGGUGUAGCGGUAAUAUGCGCAGAUAUCGGGAGGAACACCAGUGGCGAAGGCGGCUUUCUGGCCUAUUUCUGACGCUAAGACGCGAAAGCUAGGGGAGCGAACGGGAUUAGAAACCCUAGUAGUCC
This 426-nucleotide ribosomal RNA is filed under the name uncultured bacterium. RNAcentral's name for it is "bacterial SSU rRNA". It matches the Rfam family "Bacterial small subunit ribosomal RNA", at positions 354 to 796 of the family's 1533-position model. The record is from RNAcentral.